CUGAAAAAAAAAUUUCAGGUUUGUGCCAAAGAACCCUAAUUCUCUCCUUCAUACUCUUUUUUUCCUUAAAAAAAAUUCAAAUUCGCUGCGCCCACUCAUACUCUCGCUAAAGAAAUCUGAAACUAAAUAAUUUCUUUGAGAUCAAUCUGGACAUUCACCACAUUGAAGGUAAACUAGUUCUCCAAAUUUAGGUUCUCAUUUGAAACAUAUAUUGUUAUUCACCAACAGAUCAAUCUUUUUUGCAAUCUCUCUCUAUGAAUAGAGUUCUAAUUUUGGUUUUCAAAAGUUCUUUGCUAGGGUUUUGCUUAAUUGAGCGACUCUUCAAUGAUUCAAUUCUAAUUGGGUAAGGUAAUUUGUUUUUUCCUUUUAUGAUUUGGGAGCAUUUACUUAUUCUUUGUAAUUAUGUUAAAAAAAAAAAGGUAUAAUCUUUGUUAAAUUGGAUUCUCUGUGAUUCCUUGAAGGUUGAACACUAAUAACAAUUCAUUAAUAAACCAAACAGGAUGCCAGAUUAGAUAAGUGUUCAGGUUUAAUUGUAUAUAUUGAACCAUUCAUCUCUGGCUUUGUGAAGUAUGCCUUAAAUAAAUAUAUUUGGCUUUCAGCAUUUUAGCUUAGUAAGUGAAAAAUGCAGAAAUGCAAACUAGUUAGUGAACAAGCUAAUGUAAAAUUCUUUAUGUGGUCAUAUUAUUGGGAUGGUCUCCUAACCGUGGACAAGCUCCAACGAAGGGGAAUGGUGUUGUCUAAUAGAGUAAUAGGUGUUUGUCUUUGUAAGGAGGCAGAAGAGAGUAGUGAACAUCUCUUCAUGACCUGCAGGUUCACUAGGCAAAUUUGGGAGGAGUUGUUAGUGGUUAAGAGGGAAACACAGCACACACUGGACAGCUGGACUGCAUCCUCUGAACUGCUCACAAACUGGCGGGAAUUCAACAGUACAAAGAUUGCUCAGUUCCUAUGUGGAGUCUUGCCCGAUGGAGUGAUGUGGUUCAUCUGGAAAACAAGGAAUGGCGUGAUUUUUAGGGAAGGUGAAACAACAGUGGACAAAACAGUGCAGGCCGUCAAGGCGACAAUAUGGAGUUGGAUGAAUAUAAGUCCUAAAGUAAUGGAGAUGAGACAGAACAAGAGGUACACAGAUUUACUAUUUGGAUGAUAUGCCAGCCUUGUUUUCUUCCAUUGUUUCGCAUUUAUAACUCAUAAGUUGUAGUCAUAGAUAUGAUAAUACUUAUAAAAAAUUCUGGCGGUAAUCAGAUAUAUAUGCUGGUUGGUUAGUUUAGAAAAGCAUGGUCCCAGAGUUUUAUUCUAGUUUCGUACUCUUUUCUAAGCAAUUGUCUAACAAUAUACAAAUGUAAGCUGUUGCUUACCAGUUAACUCCUUAUGUAAUUUUUUUUAUGUAAUUUGUUAAUUAUAUCACCAAAAAAAUUAUAACUUUUUCUUUGUGAGGUAAAUUACACUUUUCAUUUGGCAUGGAAUCACUGUAAUAAUUUAGGUGGUUUUUAAUAGUGCUAUAAUUAGAUGAAUAUUUGUGUCCUCAUUUUUUGUGCUCAUUGCUAAGUUCUUAUUGCAGCUGGAAGCUAUCCAAUUCAUCACAUCCCACAAGUCCAUCGUAGCCGCAGCUAAGAUUUCUGAUCUUAUGGAUAUUGUCAUUAAAAGCGUAUCGGGUCUUGCAGUAUUAUCUCAGGUCCGUUUUUACUAACCUAGGUAGUUUGCUUGAAUUGAAGGAGUCUGUCAAUGAACAUGCACACAUGGUUAUAUAGUCCUUCAUAGUUUCUCACAAGCUUACUUCUUUCAUCAUGAUGCUUGCAUUCACCUGCUCUGUUCCAUUUUUUUUUUCUUUUGUCUAAUAUAUGUGUUUCAUUGCUCAGGAAUUACCUGUAUAAUGAAAAGCAUGCAACCUACACUAGAAUUGGUUGUGAGUACAACGUCUGAGGGAUCAACUGGCCCUGUGGGUGGCACUUCUAAAAAGUGAAAAUCACUUGCAGCAUACAAAAUUUUCUAAGGUUGUCCAUUGAGUUACAAUAUUAGAUGUAAUAGUGUUUUUUAAGCUGAAAAAUACUUAUUUGGUUAUUGGAUCUAAUUGUUAUCUCACCUUAUAUAAUAAGAAUUAUGAUUAUUUGUGUACUGUAGGUUUACUGCAUCAGCGUCUGUCUGUAGAAUGGCUGAGGCAGCACUUGCACAAGUCCUUGGACAGUAAUUACAUGCAUUGGGUUCAUAUCUGAAACAUUAUCUUGAUGCAGCAGAUGUUGUCAUCAAUAAAAUAUUUGAGCUUUUGACAUUGCUUCCAAUCACUCGUAAG
RNAcentral lists this long non-coding RNA (2284 nucleotides) under Aquilegia coerulea. RNAcentral's name for it is "long non-coding RNA (ACOE_LNC002082)". Lineage: Eukaryota; Viridiplantae; Streptophyta; Magnoliopsida; Ranunculales; Ranunculaceae. The record is from RNAcentral.